RNAcentral lists this long non-coding RNA (371 nucleotides) under Cyanistes caeruleus (blue tit). RNAcentral's name for it is "lncRNA (ENSCCEG00000023487.1)". Lineage: Eukaryota; Metazoa; Chordata; Aves; Passeriformes; Paridae. The record is from RNAcentral.
AAAACACACUGUAGGCAGACAUCAGAUUUAUCUUUGGCUUAGAUACAAUUAAAAAACAAUAACAAAAAAAAUGCACAAAAGGAAACCCACAGUGCAGAGGGACAGUUAAGCAUUUGUGUUUGAGACUCAAAACAGCCAACACACUGAGCAAGAGCCUGCCUGAGGCUAGUCUACCUGUUCCUGUUGAGUCUGGCACUACUUACUGUGCAAGGCUUGUGGAGACCAGAGAAAAGGGCACACCUGUAUUUGACAUUGCAGUUUAUGUGCUGAGUAUGAGUUUCUCCCUUGGGCCAAACUGCCCUUUCCAUCCUUCUGCCAGGUGUGAGUGAACGGAUCCAAGAGUGAAGAGUGCCACCAUCAGGGCAACCGCC